This 101-nucleotide ribosomal RNA is filed under the name Salvator merianae (Argentine black and white tegu). The record is from RNAcentral. Lineage: Eukaryota; Metazoa; Chordata; Lepidosauria; Squamata; Teiidae.
GACUGCCGCUCCCAACCUUGUCCACUCUCAAAAGUCAAGCAGGGUCAGGCCUGGAUAAUCCUCGGAUGGGAGACCACUAAGAGAUGCCAGAAUGGCAGGCU